Molecule: unclassified non-coding RNA, 315 nt
Filed under: Bursera trifoliolata
Lineage: Eukaryota; Viridiplantae; Streptophyta; Magnoliopsida; Sapindales; Burseraceae
Description: partial external transcribed spacer
Source: RNAcentral
UUCGGUAUCCUGUGUUGCUUACCUAUCGAAAGGAAUCCGACGGUUUCGUUGGUCCCUUUCCGCCCCAUGCCCUCGCGGGUGGUGGGGCGGACGUCAGGCAAGCCUCGUGUUCCCGGCACGCCUCGCCCAGUUGCGUGGCUGCCUAGGCCCACGGGGCGCACUGCCCGUGCUCUCGGAUGCGGAACGUUACGCGCGGGCGUGGGGUCUUUUGGCUCCGUCGGCCCGAGCAACGCAUUUGUCCCUCGACACGAACGACCGUCGAACCCGUCUUGAGCACGCGGCCGUACCGUCGGUCGGGUCUCAUGCGGGCGUCGG